This 257-nucleotide unclassified non-coding RNA is filed under the name uncultured fungus. RNAcentral's name for it is "partial contains 5.8S ribosomal RNA, internal transcribed spacer 2, and large subunit ribosomal RNA". Lineage: Eukaryota; Fungi. The record is from RNAcentral.
AACGCAUAUUGCGCCCUUUGGCAUUCCGAAGGGCAUGCCUGUUCGAGCGUCAUUAUCAACCAUCAAGCAUGGCUUGUCGUUGGACUCUUGUUGCUGUAACACGCGACAAGUCCGAAAGAUAAUGACGGGUGUCGUGUUAGACCCUCGAUGCAACGAGCUCUUUGUAGCACGCAUCGAACGUGGUCUACCGCCCCGGUCUACACCUCUAUUUUCUUCAGGUUGACCUCGGAUCAGGUAGGAAUACCCGCUGAACUUAA